RNAcentral lists this ribosomal RNA (467 nucleotides) under uncultured bacterium. Its description in RNAcentral is "partial 16S ribosomal RNA". It matches the Rfam family "Bacterial small subunit ribosomal RNA", at positions 29 to 507 of the family's 1533-position model. The record is from RNAcentral.
ACGCACGCUGGCGGCGUGCUUAACCCCUGCAAGUCGAACGGAAAGGCCCUGCUUUUGUGGGGUGCUCGAGUGGCGAACGGGUGAGUAACACGUGAGUAACCUGCCCUUGACUUUGGGAUAACUUCAUGAAACUGGGGCUAAUACCGGAUAGGAGCUCCUGCUGCAUGGUGGGGGUUGGAAAGUUUCGGCGGUUGGGGAUGGACUCGCGGCUUAUCAGCUUGUUGGUGGGGUAGUGGCUUACCAAGGCUUUGACGGGUAGGCGGCCUGAGAGGGUGACCGGCCACAUUGGGACUGAGAUACGGCCCAGACUCCUACGGGAGGCAGCAGUGGGGAAUAUUGCACAAUGGGCGGAAGCCUGAUGCAGCAACGCCGCGUGCGUGAUGACGGCCUUCGGGUUGUAAACCGCUUUCGCCUGUGACGAAGCGUGAGUGACGGUAAUGGGUAAAGAAGCACCGGCUAACUACGUG